AGUGAACGCUGGCGGUAGGCCUAACACAUGCAAGUCGAACGGCAGCACAGUAAGAGCUUGCUCUUACGGGUGGCGAGUGGCGGACGGGUGAGGAAUACAUCGGAAUCUACUUUUUCGUGGGGGAUAACGUAGGGAAACUUACGCUAAUACCGCAUACGACCUACGGGUGAAAGCAGGGGAUCUUCGGACCUUGCGCGAUUGAAUGAGCCGAUGUCGGAUUAGCUAGUUGGCGAGGUAAAGGCCCACCAAGGCGACGAUCCGUAGCUGGUCUGAGAGGAUGAUCAGCCACACUGGAACUGAGACACGGUCCAGACUCCUACGGGAGGCAGCAGUGGGGAAUAUUGGACAAUGGGCGCAAGCCUGAUCCAGCCAUACCGCGUGGGUGAAGAAGGCCUUCGGGUUGUAAAACCCUUUUGUUGGGAAAGAAAAGCAGCAGGUUAAUACCCCGCUGUUCUGACGGUACCCAAAGAAUAAGCACCGGCUAACUUCGUG
RNAcentral lists this ribosomal RNA (492 nucleotides) under uncultured bacterium. RNAcentral's name for it is "partial 16S ribosomal RNA". It matches the Rfam family "Bacterial small subunit ribosomal RNA", at positions 29 to 507 of the family's 1533-position model. The record is from RNAcentral.